UUUUUAAAUCAAAAACCUAAAAAGAAAGAAAUUUAUGCAAAUGAUCAAAUUUUAGAGUUGCCGAAAAAUGUUGCACCUCAGAAGCACAAACGGCAAACCUCCCGUCGGCGUCGAAUAUCUCUUCGUUCUGCCCAAUCGCCAAAUCCUACAAUAGGAAUAUAAAUUUCGUGAUCAAAGUCGUCAAUGAAUCGGGAACUCAGAAGCACAAUUUAUUGAAUAGGUUGUCAAUGAAUCGGGAACUCAGAAGCACAAUUUUCUUCCUUUUGCUCAAUUGCCAAAUCCAACAAUAGGAGUAUGAACAAGGCCUUCACAUUCUGAUCAAAAACAGAGUGGAAGCUAUAGUUGGUGAUCUAGGAACUGGAUCUACUCCACAAAGAAGUGAUCCUUUGAUAUCUCUGCUUGUGCAGGUACAAAUUUUGCAGUUCCUUUACACAUAUCAAUGAUCCCGCGGUUGGUUGAUAACCUGCAACCUCGCACUCUUCUGAUGAAAAGCGAGGUGCAAGUAAAGGGGCUGCUGGAUGCAUCCACCAGUGUCUCAUUGGUGACGCAUCGGAAAAUUGAGC
This is a long non-coding RNA of Solanum pennellii, 563 nucleotides long. RefSeq lists it as uncharacterized. The transcript is spliced from 4 exons. The record is from RefSeq and is a predicted model, not a curated record. Lineage: Eukaryota; Viridiplantae; Streptophyta; Magnoliopsida; Solanales; Solanaceae.